Molecule: ribosomal RNA, 305 nt
Filed under: uncultured bacterium
Lineage: Bacteria
Description: bacterial SSU rRNA
Rfam family: Bacterial small subunit ribosomal RNA
Source: RNAcentral
UCCUACGGGGGGCAGCAGUGAGGAAUAUUGGUCAAUGGGCUUACGCCUGAACCAGCCAAGUCGCAUGAGGGAAGACUGCCCUAUGGGUUGUAAACCUCUUUUGUCAGGGAGCAAUUGGCGCUACGUGUAGCGUUAUCGAGAGUACCUGAAGAAAAAGCAUCGGCUAACUACGUGCCAGCAGCCGCGGUAAUACGUAGGGGGCAAGCGUUAUCCGGAUUUACUGGGUGUAAAGGGAGCGUAGACGGCAGGGCAAGUCUGGAGUGAAAGGCGGGGGCUCAACCCCCGGACUGCUCUGGAAACUGCCA